Molecule: ribosomal RNA, 372 nt
Filed under: uncultured organism
Description: bacterial SSU rRNA
Rfam family: Bacterial small subunit ribosomal RNA
Source: RNAcentral
CGUAGGUGGCAAGCGUUGUCCGGAAUUAUUGGGCGUAAAGCGCGCGCAGGCGGUCCUUUAAGUCUGAUGUGAAAGCCCACGGCUCAACCGUGGAGGGUCAUUGGAAACUGGGGGACUUGAGUACAGAAGAGAAGAGUGGAAUUCCACGUGUAGCGGUGAAAUGCGUAGAGAUGUGGAGGAACACCAGUGGCGAAGGCGACUCUUUGGUCUGUAACUGACGCUGAGGCGCGAAAGCGUGGGGAGCAAACAGGAUUAGAUACCCUGGUAGUCCACGCCGUAAACGAUGGGUGCUAAGUGUUAGAGGGUUUCCGCCCUUUAGUGCUGCAGCAAACGCAUUAAGCACUCCGCCUGGGGAGUACGGCCGCAAGGCUG